GACGAACGCUGGCGGCGUGCUUAACACAUGCAAGUCGAACGGAAAGGCCCUGCUUUUGUGCGUUGCUCGAUUGGCGAACGGGUGAGUAACACGUGAGUAACCUGCCCUUGACUUUGGGAUAACUUCAGGAAACUGGGGCUAAUACCGGAUAGGAGCUCCUGCUGCAUGGUGGGGGUUGGAAAGUUUCGGCGGUUGGGGAUGGAUUCGCGGCUUAUGGGCUUGUUGGUGGGGUAGUGGCUUACCAAGGGUUUGACGGGUAGCCGGCAUGGGAGGGUGGACGGCGACAAUGGGACUGCGAUAGGGAGCAGUCUGGAACGGGAGGCAGAAGUGGGGAAUAUUGCACAAUGGGCGGAAGCCUGAGGAAGCAACGCCGGGUGCGGGAUGCCGGCCUUCGGGUUGUAAACAGCUUUAGCCGGAGACGAAGCGUGAGUGACGGUAAUGAGUAAAGAAGCACCGGCUAACUACGUG
RNAcentral lists this ribosomal RNA (468 nucleotides) under uncultured bacterium. Its description in RNAcentral is "partial 16S ribosomal RNA". It matches the Rfam family "Bacterial small subunit ribosomal RNA", at positions 28 to 507 of the family's 1533-position model. The record is from RNAcentral.